Molecule: ribosomal RNA, 253 nt
Filed under: uncultured bacterium
Lineage: Bacteria
Description: partial 16S ribosomal RNA
Rfam family: Bacterial small subunit ribosomal RNA
Source: RNAcentral
UACGUAGGGUGCAAGCGUUGUCCGGAAUUAUUGGGCGUAAAGAGCUCGUAGGCGGUUUGUCGCGUCGAAUGUGAAAACCCGGGGCUCAACUCCGGGCCUGCAUUCGAUACGGGCAGACUAGAGUUCGGUAGGGGAGACUGGAAUUCCUGGUGUAGCGGUGAAAUGCGCAGAUAUCAGGAAGAACACCUAUGGCGAAGGCAGCUCUCUGGGACGGUACUGACGCUGAGACGCGAAAGCGUGGGGAGCGAACAGG